CAAGAAGAAAAACAAAGGUUAGAUAGAAUUAAGCAAAAGAGGCGUCACUAAGCUUAGUUUUCGUUGUCCAGCGGGGAAUUUAAGACUGUUUAUGUUUUGGUGGGGGUAAAAAGUGUAGAGAGAGAGGAG
Long non-coding RNA from Etheostoma cragini (Arkansas darter), 129 nucleotides. RefSeq lists it as uncharacterized. The record is from RefSeq and is a predicted model, not a curated record. The transcript is spliced from 4 exons. Lineage: Eukaryota; Metazoa; Chordata; Actinopteri; Perciformes; Percidae.